GACGAACGCUGGCGGCGUGCUUAACACAUGCAAGUCGAACGGAAAGGCCCUGCUUUUGUGGGGUGCUCGAGUGGCGAACGGGUGAGUAACACGUGAGUAACCUGCCCUUGACUUUGGGAUAACUUCAGGAAACUGGGGCUAAUACCGGAUAGGAGCUCCUGCUGCAUGGUGGGGGUUGGAAAGUUUCGGCGGUUGGGGAUGGACUCGCGCCUUAUCAGCUUGUUGGUGGGGUAGUGGCUUACCAAGGCUUUGACGGGUAGCCGGCCUGAGAGGGUGACCGGCCACAUUGGGACUGAGAUACGGCACAGACUCCUACGGGAGGCAGCAGUGGGGAAUAGUGCACAAUGGGCGGAAGCCUGAUGCAGCAACGCCGCGUGCGGGAUGACGGCCUUCGGGUUGUAAACCGAUUUCGCAUGUGACGAAGCGUGAGUGACGGUAAUGGGUAAAGAAGCACCGGCUAACUACGUG
RNAcentral lists this ribosomal RNA (468 nucleotides) under uncultured bacterium. RNAcentral's name for it is "partial 16S ribosomal RNA". It matches the Rfam family "Bacterial small subunit ribosomal RNA", at positions 28 to 507 of the family's 1533-position model. The record is from RNAcentral.